AAACUUUCAACAACGGAUCUCUUGGUUCUGGCAACAAUGAAGAACGCAACGAAAUGCGAUAAGUAAUGCGAAUUGCAGAAUUCCAGUGAGUCAUCGAAUCAUUGAACGCACAUUGCGCCCUUUGGUAUUCAGAAGGGCAUGCCUGUUCUAGCGUCAUUA
This 159-nucleotide ribosomal RNA is filed under the name Exophiala sp. RNAcentral's name for it is "5.8S ribosomal RNA". It matches the Rfam family "5.8S ribosomal RNA". From Rfam's summary of the family: 5.8S ribosomal RNA (5.8S rRNA) is a component of the large subunit of the eukaryotic ribosome. The record is from RNAcentral. Lineage: Eukaryota; Fungi; Ascomycota; Eurotiomycetes; Chaetothyriales; Herpotrichiellaceae.